GCAGGAGCUUACUCGUUUCACAAGCGAAGAGAGCUUUUCUUUCUAAGGUUCCCGAAUCACUGAAAGCAAAAUUGGUUGAGCGUCUCAAAUCAUUUAGCCAAGAGAAGCAACUAUCUGGAACUUAACCGAGCAAGACAUGCAGUUUUGGCGAGAGUGUAAUCUGUUCACAUUCGAUGAAUAUGAUUGUAAAUAUUUUGCGGAUGCAAACUGAGAUAACCCGGUUGGUUGAGUUAGGCAAGUCUUGCUGAGGCGGCGCAGCUGCACAGUUGGUCCAGAGAGAGAACAAUUCAAUCUUUGUACAAAAUUAUUUUUGUCCGUAGCUCAAUCCUCAUUUUUAUAGACUAACCAGUUUUGAAUACGGUCUGUCGAGGAGUUUUGGAUGUAUUGCAACUUUUAAUGUUAUAAAAUCUACAGGCAUCGUUCCAUUUGGUUUU
Molecule: non-coding RNA, 434 nt
Organism: Salvia hispanica
Lineage: Eukaryota; Viridiplantae; Streptophyta; Magnoliopsida; Lamiales; Lamiaceae
Source: RefSeq, a predicted model, not a curated record